CGCUCUAACCACAUGCUAUCUCUUUCCACAUAGUGGGCAUACAUCCUCAUUCAUUUCAAAUCCGUUCUUAAAAACAGUUGCGAAAUCGUAAUAUUAUGGUACUAAAAAGUGAAGUUAAAUAAUUAAGAUGGACGCCGAUGUGAAGGACACGAAUGCGUCAGAAUUUAACGAAAAUAAAGUUAUCGAUAAAAAUACGAACGAGAAAACGCGUCUCGUCGAGCCUAUUAACGUUAGAAAUGCUUAUGAAACGUCGAAAUACGAAAACGCCAGAAAUAAUUUUAACAUAUUCAUUCUGGUGUGUAUAACAGGCGUUGUAAUGGCCGUGCUAAUGAGGAGGAUGAUAAACUCGGAAAAUAUAAACGAUAAAUACGUAGAGCGCGCCAUCAAGAAACGUUAUUGGGUUUAUUCUGCUCAGAAUGACGUCAACAAUCCUGACGGUUUGUUAAAGCACGUGCAUCGCGUCCUAAAACGAAUCGGUUACGAAAAAACCACGAACGAAUCCGAUUGGAACUUGCUAUGGUCCCACGAUUAUCCUUUUCGAGUACUGUACCCUAAUUUACACAGUUUAAAACCAAAUCAGAAAGUCAACCACUACCCCGGAGCGGGUUUCGUUACGAACAAAGUAGACCUUGCCACGACUGAAUCGAAAUACAUCCCGAAGGCGUUCAAACUGCCACAGAAUAAAGAAGAUUUUUUAAAAUACGCCGCUGAGAACGAAGGCGCCUUGUUUUUGGAAAAGCACAAUCAACACAGAGGUGUUUACUUAAAAAACGUGAGCGAAAUAAAUCUGGCUGGCGGGGAAAGUUUCGUACAAGAAUACGUGCAAAGACCGUUCUUAGUCGACGGACACAAGUUUGAUAUUGGCGUGUACGUAGUUCUAACCUCGGUUAACCCCUUGAGAGCAUAUUGGUACAAAGGAGAUGUCCUCUUCAGGUACUGUCCGGCAAAGUAUUAUCCUUUCGAUCCAAAGGAUUUGGAUAAAUAUGUCAUUAGGGACGACUACCUCCCUACCUGGGAGGUACCUUCGCUGUCGCAUCCUUACACUGCCCUUGGGUUUAGCAUGAGAGAUGCUUUCGACAUUUACGCUAAAACAAAGGGGAAAGACCCUACACAGAUGUGGAGGGAAAUACAAAACGCUAUAGCUGAGUUAUUUGUGAAAAAAGAGCAUCAUAUUGUCGAAACUUUGAAAUCGUAUCCGUCAACAGAAAACUUCUUCGAACUAAUGCGUUUUGAUCUGGUCGUCGAUGAAGAUCUAAAAGUGUAUUUGUUAGAAGCCAACAUGUCGCCCAACUUGUCGUCUGCUCACUACCCUCCCAACCAGCUGUUGUACGAGCAGGUUCUGUACAACUUGUUCGGACUGGUUGGCAUAGCUGAUCAUAUCCAGGAGAAUAGUCUUGGAGAUUCAGCUGCUCAGAACAUGGUGUCUUCACAGAAAAACAUAGCCGUAUGGGGCGAAAUAUGCACGACGACUUGUAGAGAUAAUUGUCACAUGAAUCUAAUAUGUGAACUCUGUCGUCCCUGUCUGAGCGCAAGGUUGCGAAGCGUCUUCCUUAAGGCCCAUAAGGAGUUUCUUCAUAAGGGAGACUUUAGGAGGUUGUUCCCACCGCCUAUGGGUUCAUGCCUAGCUGUUUUUUCACGCUUCUUGCUUAUUGCUUCACCCGAUAACUGCGUGUGCUGAAAAGGUCAUCUCCGCCCAGUAACCCGUACCCUGGUGAUCUAGCCAGCCCAGGAAACCUCCAGGAGUCCAGACGUGGUGCUUCAGCGGGUCAACCCACGUCCGUUGGCUGCCGGAAUUCAGGAGGGUAACCUACAGAGGGAGAGUCAGAUCGGCCGUACAACCACGCCCUACAAAUUUGUGUGCUCAACUGCCUGUGUUUUUUUUUUGUAUAAUAUAUAUUUUUUUAAUGAGACACUAGUGUUUUGUUUUUUUCCUAAGGGAAAGACUAAGCAGUUGUCGCAAUAUGUCGCUCUCUUUACUUUUUUUACUAAUUUCUACCUUGGGUAAAGUGAUGAAAUUAAAAUUAAACUCAUGGCAGAAUUUAAUUGUAUUCAUAAUUUCACGAGUAAAUUAAUCAGUGAUAUGUAUGCAGAAGGUAUAUGACACCUUUUUGGUGUAAUGAAAAUGUAUUCGACAUGGGACCAACUGAUCUUAAAAUAUUUGCUAUAGUGAUUGAAGGUACUUUGAUGGAGAUGAUUUAUUUUUAUUGUACUCGAUGUAUAUAUUAGAUAUUUAACUAAAUUCUCCUUGAGUAAGUUUUGGGGGUAGAAGUAAAAAAUCGUAAAUACUGCUAAAAGUUAAAUACUAAAUCUACAUGGGUCGUAAUAGAAAUGAGGUAGUAAUAUUCGGGAAUUCAGUGCAGCUAGGGUCACCUAAGUCAAGAUCAAAUUGCUAUGUGAAUUAGAAUCUGGGUGUGAUUUUUUUGGAGUUUACUCCUUUAGAAUCGAUUUACAUAUAUAGGCCCGGGGUAUGAAAAUUAUGGGGACCAAAAUCGUACUAGCAUGUCACACGAAAUGCGUUAUGCGCCUGAUUGGCUCCUGAUUGCGUGAUGCGUGCGCGCGCCAAUCAGGAGCCAACGCGCGGCCGCGUUAUCGCAGGUGACGCCGGGCUGCUGCGCCGGCAGUCCGCCACAAAGCCUCGUACUGAUCGCGCGUUUCUCUCAUUAUUGUAUUUUCAUAUAUUUGUUAGUCGUUUGUUUUGUGUCUCGUUAAUUUGUUAAUAAUCUGUAGUGUAUCGUGUUGUCGUAAUAUAGAACUAUUUCUCGUAUUGUUUCGUUUAAUUUUUUAUAUCCAGUAAACUCCAGUCGUGCGUCGGAGCGGACACACACACUUUUUUUAUUGCUUAGAUGGGUGAACGAGCUCACAGCCCACCUGGUGUUAAGUAGUUACUGGAGCCCAUAGACAUUUACAGCGUAAAUACGCCACCCACCUUGAGAUAUAAGUUGCAAGGUUGUAUAGUUACAACGGCUGGCUGCCCCACCCUUCAAGCCGAAACGCAUUACUGCUUCACGGCAGAAAUAGGCAGGGUCGUGGUACCUACCCGUGCGGACUCACAUGAGGUCUUACCACCAGUAAUUACGUAAAUUAUAAUUUUGCGGGUUUGAUUUUUAUUACCCGAUGUUAUUCCUUCACCGUGGAAGUCAUUCGUGAACAUUUGUUGAGUACGUAUUUCAUUAGAAAAAUUGGUACUUGCCUGGGAUUCGAAAAACGGGUUAUCGCUCAACACGAAUGCACCGGACGUUUUAUCCCUUAGGCCACGACGACUACAUGUAUAACGGACACCAAUUUAAGAUCGAAAGCCAAUGCUACUUUAAAAGAAGAGGACUUGAAGCACUUGAACAAACCAAACAGACUUCAGUACUUAUGGUACCAGGGAAAAUGCAAUGUGGAUAUCACUUGGUGUACAUAAAACAAAUAUUAUUAACUAAAACUAAUUUAUUCAAAAUUACAAAAUAAUUCAUAAUAAAAAUCCUAAAACAUGA
Molecule: RNA transcript, 3479 nt
Organism: Bombyx mori (domestic silkworm)
Lineage: Eukaryota; Metazoa; Arthropoda; Insecta; Lepidoptera; Bombycidae
Gene: TTLL15
Gene name: probable tubulin polyglutamylase ttll-15
Exons: 8
Source: RefSeq, a predicted model, not a curated record